Long non-coding RNA from Pyrus x bretschneideri (Chinese white pear), 1367 nucleotides. RefSeq lists it as uncharacterized. The record is from RefSeq and is a predicted model, not a curated record. The transcript has 6 exons. Lineage: Eukaryota; Viridiplantae; Streptophyta; Magnoliopsida; Rosales; Rosaceae.
AGUUUUUUCUUUCCGUUCACUUAUUUGAUAUGUGCGCGCUUAUUUGGUUUCAAGAAACACUCAUGUCCCAAUUUUGAGGCUUUCAUGCGCAGCUUUGCAAGCCCUUUGUGUUCAAGGUGUGUAUAUACAAGUUUAUGGCGAAUUUGUGGUUUGUUGUUCUCAACUGUUGUCUUCUGCAGUUCGCAACUCUUUCCUUCCUUGGAGAACCUUGCAUGCAUUUUAUAUGAAGAUGAUUUGUAAAGAUGCUGUGAUUUCAUGAGUUUUCUAUUGGGGAAACGUAAGGACCCGAUUAUCCUACAUCGAAAAAAUAGCGGCAGCGGGUCCUAUUUAAAAUGAAUCUAAUUGAAGAGACUAAGGAUUGGGCACCUUUCACAAACUGCAGUACUACUACUCUUGCUGAGCUCAUGGAAUACUCUUCCCAAACUUCUGAAUCAACAAGCAAGUGGACGACAUAAGUUUCUAAAUUACAGAGACAUCUGUUUGUGCAGAGAGGAGAUAUCUCAUUACAAAGAACUUAAUACAGCAGAACAUUUAUUACUCUUAAAAGCAUUAUGUGAAUUCCAAGCUCAAGUCGGUCCUUAAUUUUCAUGUAUUUUUUUAUUUCUUUAUGUCUAGGUGGUUUACAUAUAUGGUUUUAAUGUUGGAAAUUGGAAAAACUGUUUGUGUAAUGUGUCCAUCAUGUUGUAAUAUUUUAAUGUUGGAAACCGCUGGUUGUGAAUCUUUCGGAAGAAAUUAGCCCUACGAAGUAAUAAAACAAGGUCAUUUAUAUAUGGAGGAAUGAGAUUGAAUUGUUUGCUUUGCUCAGGCAAUUCAGUUUAGAUUAAUGGAUGUUAUAGUACAUUUUUGAAACCUAAACCCUAUAGUCUAUAGACUUCUCCACUAUUAUACAAAAACCGAAACAUGUUAUUGAAACUUCAUUAAUUAAUUGAUUAAUUUCCCUCUUUUCUUUUCUUUUUUUCCGAAUUAAUUUCUCCUUUUUCUUUUCUUUUUUUCCGAAUUAAUUUCUACUUUAUACCUAUAUUUUCGGGUUGGUUUAGGCUCCUUAACAAUUAAUUAAAUUAUGGGCAAGAAGAUUCAAAUACGAAACUACUUGCCUUAGCAAUUAAGUUACAAGCUACUUGCUUUAGCAAUUAAUUAAUUUGAGACAUCUUUUUAUGUUUUUUUUAACAGACGAUAUAUCUAAACUAAGGGGGCGGGGUGGACUUAACCUCACAAUAGGCUAGCAAUAACGUGGUUUGAAUUUGCCUUUGGUUAGCACAACUAAUUGUAACAAGUGGUUGGAAAUACACGGGGCACAAAGCCUAAGCAUCAAGUAACCGAAAUAUUUUUUUCAAGUAUCCAACCACUUGUAUUUUGAUAUUUAAUAU